AUGCGUUGUUGGGUAGGGGAGCGUUCUGUAAGCCUGUGAAGGUGUGCUGUGAGGCAUGCUGGAGGUAUCAGAAGUGCGAAUGCUGACAUAAGUAACGAUAAAGCGGGUGAAAAGCCCGCUCGCCGGAAGACCAAGGGUUCCUGUCCAACGUUAAUCGGGGCAGGGUGAGUCGACCCCUAAGGCGAGGCCGAAAGGCGUAGUCGAUGGGAAACAGGUUAAUAUUCCUGUACUUGGUGUUACUGCGAAGGGGGGACGGAGAAGGCUAUGUUGGCCGGGCGACGGUUGUCCCGGUUUAAGCGUGUAGGCUGGUUUUCCAGGCAAAUCCGGAAAAUCAAGGCUGAGGCGUGAUGACGAGGCACUACGGUGCUGAAGCAACAAAUGCCCUGCUUCCAGGAAAAGCCUCUAAGCAUCAGGUAACAUCAAAUCGUACCCCAAACCGACACAGGUGGUCAGGUAGAGAAUACCAAGGCGCUUGAGAGAACUCGGGUGAAGGAACUAGGCAAAAUGGUGCCGUAACUUCGGGAGAAGGCACGCUGAUAUGUAGGUGAAGUCCCUCGCGGAUGGAGCUGAAAUCAGUCGAAGAUACCAGCUGGCUGCAACUGUUUAUUAAAAACACAGCACUGUGCAAACACGAAAGUGGACGUAUACGGUGUGACGCCUGCCCGG
This 666-nucleotide ribosomal RNA is filed under the name Escherichia coli. RNAcentral's name for it is "partial 23S ribosomal RNA". It matches the Rfam family "Bacterial large subunit ribosomal RNA", at positions 1216 to 1866 of the family's 2925-position model. The record is from RNAcentral. Lineage: Bacteria; Pseudomonadati; Pseudomonadota; Gammaproteobacteria; Enterobacterales; Enterobacteriaceae.